UACAGGUUGUUGGUGAUCUGUGAGAGGUC
This 29-nucleotide non-coding RNA is filed under the name Macaca fascicularis (crab-eating macaque). The record is from RNAcentral. Lineage: Eukaryota; Metazoa; Chordata; Mammalia; Primates; Cercopithecidae. RNAcentral also lists the same sequence under 1 other name.